Molecule: ribosomal RNA, 515 nt
Filed under: uncultured bacterium
Lineage: Bacteria
Description: bacterial SSU rRNA
Rfam family: Bacterial small subunit ribosomal RNA
Source: RNAcentral
GACGAACGCUGGCGGCGUGCCUAAUACAUGCAAGUCGAGCGGACCAAAGGGAGCUUGCUCCUGGAGGUCAGCGGCGAACGGGUGAGUAACACGUGGGCAACCUGCCUGUAAGACUGGGAUAACAUCGAGAAAUCGGUGCUAAUACCGGAUAAUAAAAAGAACUGCAUGGUUCUUUUUUGAAAGAUGGUUUCGGCUAUCACUUACAGAUGGGCCCGCGGCGCAUUAGCUAGUUGGUGAGGUAACGGCUCACCAAGGCAACGAUGCGUAGCCGACCUGAGAGGGUGAUCGGCCACACUGGGACUGAGACACGGCCCAGACUCCUACGGGAGGCAGCAGUAGGGAAUCUUACCGCAAUGGACGAAAGUCUGACGGAGCAACGCCGCGUGAGUGAUGAAGGUUUCGGAUCGUAAAACUCUGUUGUUAGGGAAGAACAAGUGCCGUUCGAAAGGGCGGCACCUUGACGGUACCUAACGAGAAAGCCACGGCUAACUACGUAGCCAGCAGCCGCGGUAAAG